This 23-nucleotide microRNA is filed under the name Gallus gallus (chicken). Its description in RNAcentral is "gga-miR-7481-5p (MIR7481)". Lineage: Eukaryota; Metazoa; Chordata; Aves; Galliformes; Phasianidae. The record is from RNAcentral.
CUUUCCUGUAGGAGCCAAGAAGA